UGGGGAAUAUUGGACAAUGGGCGAAAGCCUGAUCCAGCCAUGCCGCGUGUGUGAAGAAGGUCUUCGGAUUGUAAAGCACUUUAAGUUGGGAGGAAGGGUACUUACCUAAUACGUGAGUAUUUUGACGUUACCGACAGAAUAAGCACCGGCUAACUCUGUGCCAGCAGCCGCGGUAAUACAGAGGGUGCAAGCGUUAAUCGGAAUUACUGGGCGUAAAGCGCGCGUAGGUGGUUCGUUAAGUUGAAUGUGAAAUCCCCGGGCUCAACCUGGGAACUGCAUCCAAAACUGGCGAGCUAGAGUAUGGUAGAGGGUGGUGGAAUUUCCUGUGUAGCGGUGAAAUGCGUAGAUAUAGGAAGGAACACCAGUGGCGAAGGCGACCACCUGGACUGAUACUGACACUGAGGUGCGAAAGCGUGGGGGAGCAAACAGGAUUAGAUACCCUGGUAGUCCACGCCGUAAACGAUGUCAACUAGCCGUUGGGAGCCUUGAGUUCUUAGUGGCGCAG
This 505-nucleotide ribosomal RNA is filed under the name uncultured Pseudomonadota bacterium. RNAcentral describes it as "bacterial SSU rRNA". It matches the Rfam family "Bacterial small subunit ribosomal RNA", at positions 355 to 851 of the family's 1533-position model. The record is from RNAcentral. Lineage: Bacteria; Pseudomonadati; Pseudomonadota.